UCGGUUUCAUUCUCAGAAAAAGCCUCUGUCUUCCACAAAACUACAUAAAAUACAACUUUCCUCCCAAAACACUUCCAAAACAGUACACUCUUCCUUAAUCUGGUUCCCUCGUCUUCACCGCAGCAAAACGACUUCUCGUAAAGGACAGAACACUCCCCACAGGUAAAACUCCCCACUCCUUUUCAAAGAUUCUAUUGCAAAAGUAUGGGCUAGUCCAUUAGUCGAUCUAGGAACAUGCCUGAAAACAUCCUUUUCGUUGAUAAAUAUCCUCAAUGUAAGCCCCUAUAUGCGAUUUAUCUUGAUAUUGGGAUUGACAUUUCUUAAUAAUGGUUAAUGCAUCUCCCUCAACUUCUAAGUUCAACUUAAAAAUUUCAAGUACGGAGUAGUGCUUAAAGUUUUUAUUAGACACAUAUUUGGCACGAAUUCAAACCGUGCUACCCUAUCCCUUACUUUCAAAAUUGUAUAAAAAAAUUUUAAAGUAUGGCUUUUUUCUAAAUAUUAUAAAUAAAAAAAUAAAUUAUAAUUAGAUUAUUUUUAUCAUUUCCAUUUGUUGAAAUUGUAUAAGAAUAAAACUUUUAAAAUGAUAUGUGUUGUUAUGCCUCGCAUUUUGGACUAAACAGUGUGUCCUCACAAUGAGGAAGAGUUCUUCGUCCCAACGAGCAGCUGGCAUCACGACGAGAGGAAAACCCCUGUCCCAACGACGUGAUCCUCCUUCGUCCCGAUGACACAAUGCCAUGUCUCGACAUGGCGACAUGCAAAUUAAGUUUUUCAGAUUUUUUCUCUCAAUUAAAUUUUGUUUUUAGUUUCCCACUUAAUCUUUGAUUAUUUGAUUAUCCUAGGGUUGUUAUAGUCAUUUAUGGUACGAAUUUCAACUUAUAAAUAGGUCUUAGAUAUUUUAAAUUUAUACCAGGUUGAGAGAAAUCUAUUUUUUAUUUUGAAGGGUUUGUUUUUGGGGCUUUGAAUUUUCCUUUAAUUCUUUAUAUCUACUCUCUUUUAUUACAGUGAAAUUUUAUUUUAUUUGUGCUUUUUAUUCUCAUUUGUGGAUUUUUUUUACGUAAAAUUUACAUAUUCGAUCAUUUCAAUUUUACUUUAUUUACUUAUUCAUUGCUAUUCAUUGCAUAAUAAGGGUUAAUUCCC
RNAcentral lists this long non-coding RNA (1137 nucleotides) under Gossypium barbadense (sea-island cotton). RNAcentral's name for it is "long non-coding RNA (GBAR_LNC012143)". The record is from RNAcentral. Lineage: Eukaryota; Viridiplantae; Streptophyta; Magnoliopsida; Malvales; Malvaceae.